ACUCUCAGCAACGGAUAUCUUGGCUCUUGCAACGAUGAAGAACGCAACGAAAUGCGAUACGUAGUGUGAAUUGCAGAAUUCCGCGAAUCAUCGAGUCUUUGAACGCAAGUUGCGCCCGAGGCUUGUCCAAGGGCAUUUCCGCUAGAGCGUCACCGCGCCCC
Molecule: ribosomal RNA, 161 nt
Filed under: Kindbergia oregana
Lineage: Eukaryota; Viridiplantae; Streptophyta; Bryopsida; Hypnales; Brachytheciaceae
Description: 5.8S ribosomal RNA
Rfam family: 5.8S ribosomal RNA
About the family: 5.8S ribosomal RNA (5.8S rRNA) is a component of the large subunit of the eukaryotic ribosome. It is transcribed by RNA polymerase I as part of the 45S precursor that also contains 18S and 28S rRNA.
Source: RNAcentral